RNAcentral lists this ribosomal RNA (232 nucleotides) under uncultured bacterium. RNAcentral describes it as "partial 16S ribosomal RNA". It matches the Rfam family "Bacterial small subunit ribosomal RNA", at positions 99 to 334 of the family's 1533-position model. The record is from RNAcentral.
CGGACGGGUGAGUAAUGUAUGGGGAUCUGCCUGAUGGCGGGGGAUAACUACUGGAAACGGUAGCUAAUACCGCAUAACGUCGCAAGACCAAAGAGGGGGACCUUCGGGCCUCUUGCCAUCGGAUGUGCCCAGAUGGGAUUAGCUAGUAGGUGGGGUAACGGCUCACCUAGGCGACGAUCCCUAGCUGGUCUGAGAGGAUGACCAGUCACACUGGAACUGAGACACGGUCCAG